UACGAAGGGGGCUAGCGUUGCUCGGAAUCACUGGGCGUAAAGGGUGCGUAGGCGGGGUUUUAAGUCAGGGGGGAAAUCCUGGAGCUCAACUCCAGAACUGCCUUUGAUACUGAAGAUCUUGAGUCCGGGAGAGGUGAGUGGAACUGCGAGUGUAGAGGUGAAAUUCGUAGAUAUUCGCAAGAACACCAGUGGCGAAGGCGGCUCACUGGCCCGAUACUGACGCUGAGGCACGAAAGCGUGGGUAGCAAACAGG
This 253-nucleotide ribosomal RNA is filed under the name uncultured bacterium. RNAcentral's name for it is "partial 16S ribosomal RNA". It matches the Rfam family "Bacterial small subunit ribosomal RNA", at positions 524 to 776 of the family's 1533-position model. The record is from RNAcentral.